Fulvivirga imtechensis AK7 is the source of this 120-nucleotide non-coding RNA. The record is from Rfam. NCBI's taxonomy places the organism in Bacteria, Pseudomonadati, Bacteroidota, Cytophagia, Cytophagales, Fulvivirgaceae.
GGCGCAUUGGCUCACCGGAGGCAAGCUUUCAGGAGCAGCCUUCAAACCACCUUACGGUGCUGGAUGAGUAAUCAUCUGGUAUUGAGCGGUUAAGGAAAAGGCUCUGAUUAGGAGUCAGGU